This 1424-nucleotide long non-coding RNA is filed under the name Ornithorhynchus anatinus (platypus). RNAcentral's name for it is "lncRNA (ENSOANG00000037381.1)". Lineage: Eukaryota; Metazoa; Chordata; Mammalia; Monotremata; Ornithorhynchidae. The record is from RNAcentral.
GUCCGGCGCUUAGUACAGUGCCCGGCACGUAGUAAGCGUUUAACAAAUACCAUACUAAUACUAGUACUAAGUCGAUCGUAUUUAUUGCGCGCAUCCUGGGUGCAGAGCGGUGCGCUAUGCGCUUGGAAAGUACAAUACAGCAAUAAAGAGAGACCAUCCCUGGCCACAGGGCAGCCGAAAUCCCGUUCGGUGGAGGAAAUUGGGAAGGCGAGCCUUCCCUUUCCUGCUUUUCCUGGCCGCGCAUCCCGCACCAGCCCCGUCGAGGGGCUGCGGAACGCCGGGCUUCGGGCGCCCUUCGGCUCCGGCCUCGGUGAACUUUUAGGGCCUCCGGAAAUCGACGAUCUCACCCGAACGCCCUCGGGGGCCCGCCCCCCCCCCCCCUCCCUUUUCCGAGCGGGCCGAGACCGUUGGGGCCGAGACCCCCCGAGGGCGUCCGAACGCGGCCGGCUCGGAGCGCCGAACGUGGGCGAGCCCGAUCCCUCGCUGUCAGACGAUCCGGCCGUCCGGGUUUUCUCACCACCCGGCGGCGGCGGCUUCGGCGAUUGGCGAGCGGGCCGGGCUCCAGCCAAUGAGAGGGGAGCGCCGCCUGUGACAUUGGGCCGGCCGCCGCAGCCCGAGCCCACUAGCGACGAGUCGUGCCCGAAGCCCGAAGCCCCGAAGUCCCGAAGCCCCGAAGCCCCGAAGCCCCGAAGUGCCGAAGUGCCGAAGCCCGGCUCGCCGCCCGCUCGGGGACGAAGCUCCGCCGGCCAGCUGGUCUACCCGCCCGCCCGUCCUGCGCGCAUCGGAAAGCAUGCUUGCCGCCGCCCUCCUGCUUUGACUUUCCCGGGGGAGCCGGCGAGGGGAAGAAAACCGUCGAGGAGCCGGAGCGACUUCCAAUGUGACUGCCGCUUCUCCCUUCCCUCCCCAGACAUUCCUCCGCCCCACCAAAGGAAUAUCUUGCCGCGCUCUUCCAAGUCGUUCUCGGGCCGGGCCUUCCGUUACAAAGUUGCACAAUGUUUCAAAUCCAAUCAUGUCCAUAUUUCUGCAGCACAAGUGGAGUAAAGAGCUAACAUUUACUCCAGGGAAUCUGAAUGUGUCAAUGGCAAAAGUGAUAUUUCACUGACAAAAAAGCUUUGUGGCUGGAAUUCUACGGACUGGCUGUCAGCACAGUCUGAAGGUAUGAGAUUUUUUUUUCUAACUCUCCAGCUGUAUAGACCCCGCUUAAACCAUUCUGUUUCGACUCACUCCCCACCAUUCACAGCUGAAGUGGAUGGAGAUAAGGUGGUGUUUCCAUGCCACCCCUGCUUCCAGAGGCAGUCAUGGAUCGGUAUUUAUUGAGCGAUUAUUCUGUGCCGUGCACUAUACUAAGCUCUUACUGUGAGCCUUAGGUGGGAUAGGGACUGUGUCCAACCUGCUUAACCUUAAUCAAUCAAUCAAUCAAUUAA